ACCGUAAUGUGACUAAUGAUGUGGUGAAAGUCCUCAUUGGCUUGUAGUUCUUUGAUGGACAGUUGUUGGUAUGAUUAUGACCAGGGAUUAUUCGGUAUAAUCAUGACCAUUAAUGAUUACAUGAAUAUCCUUGGUCGUGAUGCAGGGAUGAUUCGAUUUUAUUUAUUAAGCUGAGUCUCAACGAUAAAGUUGAUGAAAAACUUUUUAAAUCAUAG
This 215-nucleotide long non-coding RNA is filed under the name Panax ginseng (ginseng). Its description in RNAcentral is "long non-coding RNA (PGIN_LNC013764)". The record is from RNAcentral. Lineage: Eukaryota; Viridiplantae; Streptophyta; Magnoliopsida; Apiales; Araliaceae.